UGGUUAAGAAAAAUAACAAUAGAAUGUAAGAAUUCGUUAUAAUAUAAAAGUGUAGGAUUAAAUUAUUUAUUGAUAGCUUAUAAUUAAGACAAUAGUAUUUAUAAUGGAACGAAAUAUCUACAGUGGAAUGUAAUAAUAGGACACAAACAUCAUCAAUAAAGUACAAGUAGAGAACACAAUUUAAAAAAUAUAUUAACACAAAUAAUUCAUCUGUUUUGUAAUGGCUUUUAUAUAGAUAUUAGAUAAUGGUACCUAUAUCGAUUAAUAUUUUAAACUGACUAAACUUUAUACUGUUUUACAUGCCACAUGCCACAAGAUGGUACAUCUUAAAUACCACUCGAUGUAUGCUAUAAUUAUUGACGACGGGGUAUAUUAAGUAAAAAGCAUUUUAAUAGUAUUUAUAUGACGUAUAAAAUAAGUAAUUUUUUUUCGUAGUUUAUAGUUACCUAUAUAUCACAAUGUAUAGUCUCAAACUUAUUUUAGUUUAGUGUAGGUGCAUUACACAUUCAUUUAAAAGCGUACUCUUGUUUGUUUUCUUUUUUUUUUGUAAAGUGUAGUAGAAUAACUGCAUAUUAAGUACCUAUUUAAGUACUUUCCUUUAUUGCUGAUGUCGACUAUUAGUAAUAAUACUUUUAUAUUUUGAGCGAAAAGAAGAUUUAUAAUAUGUACAAACUAAUUUUAUAAUGAUAUAUGUUCGAAGUUUAAAUUUUGUAAAUAUCGUCAAAAUUUCGAAAAUAUUCAAUGUAUUUUAUAGUUGAACGUUUUCAACAUUUUCACUUAUUAUAGAUUUAGCCCGAGGCUAUACACAUCAUUUUCUGUCCUCUGUAUUGCCGCUCCUAAUUUUAAAACAAUGUAAAAUCGUCCAGCUUGCCAGUUUAUCUUCCAUCGGUGAUGUUAUAGCGCCGCGUGUCAUAUCCUACUACUUCAAUACAAAACAAUGAAUUUUGAAUUCGAGGGAAAAUGACGCGAAAUCCGUAGUUUUUCAUACAUAGUUUGUCACUAAAACUUUUAAGUUUAACCAAUGAUAAAAUAACACUAUCUAGUUUAAUAUCGAAUCUAUGGUUAAACACAUUAAAUAGUUUACAUAACCCAAAGCCUAACUUUUAAUCGGAAAUUUAAAUUCCCCGACUAUACAAUUUAAAUGUAUUUUAUACUAAUUGUACGAUUUGUUUGAAUCUUUUGUUUAUAAAAUAUGCCUAUUAUUAUAAUAUGUGCAUUAUGCAUAUUAUUACGAUUCAUAAUAUAAUAAUUCAGUUAUUCAGUAGGUAUUUGUUGUGUACGUAUAUAUUAUUCUAUGGAAAUAAAAAAAUAUAUAAAACGUUUUCAUAACACAGAAGAAUUUAAUAUAACAGAGUUUUGAAAAAAUAUAUCAAAUAAUUUAUGUCAGAUAUUUUACUUUUUAUUUUAAUUUAUUUCUAUUAUAAUUUGUAUUAAUAUAGGACGACGCUGCAUGACUACGUACCUACCCACGCCUUCGUACACCGAUAUUUAUUACUAUAGUUCCGACACUCUUAUACCAUAAGAAUUUGAAAAAAAAAACAAAUUCUUAUUUCCAUAACAAUGGCUUUUAGACUAUUUAUAUAACAAAUUAAAAGUAUAAAUCAAAUUAAAAGAUGACUUAAUUAAUUGUGAUCGUACGCCAAUUAAUUUUAUUAUAAGUAAAGCAAAAGCAUAUAAGCAGUAUCCAUAUAUCUCUUCCUAUAUAAUUGAAUGGCGAGGACGAGCACCUACACUUUUUUCGCCCAUGUAGAUGAAAAAUGUAUUCAAAAUAUCAAUACGUUAUCGUUUCAAUUAUUUUGUGCUGAGCUGUAUUUUCUUCGGUGUUUGACGUUUACUGUUUGGUCUCUCGGCUUUGAUGUAUUUAUGCGUAAUAUACUACUAUGUUACAGUACAUAACACAUACAAACUGUACCUAUUACAGGAUAUAAUUUAUUGUUAUUUAGUUAUAACAAUUGAUUUUAGAUUAUAAUAUUAUACUAAUAGAGAUAUUGGAUACAUCACUCAAUAAAUUGAAUAAAUAAAUGGUUUUAAAUGAAAUAUUUCACCUAGAUGGUAACAUCACAUAUUGAACGGUUCUAAACUUUUCAAACACCACUGUCUAUUAAAGAGAAGAAAACGCAACAUUCUUUAAAAGUAUAAAGAUGCAAAUUUAAAACAGCAAAACAUAUUAAUUUAUAAUUUAUCUAUCAAGUAUAAAUAAUGUGAGCGAUUACAUAUUAAGCGAGAUAAUAAUUUUAUUGAAGUUUAUUUCCACAAUGUGUGAUAGGUAUUAUCAACCUAAAUAGUACGGACACUAUACGAACUACGAGUAAUAGUGUUUAAAUGCCUAUGCAAAAUUCUGAAACAGCGAUAUAAAAUAAGAGUAAAUGGUGCGACCACUUUAAACAAUCAAUAUACUUAGAAAGGAGUGUUGGUGAUUUCUUCACCCAAACAAGCAAACUAUAUUUGAUAAAUUCUUAGUUAAUACGAAAAAUGCUUUGAUGACAUAAAUUAAUAUAAAAAAACUACAACAAUAUACGUAAAGA
Long non-coding RNA from Aphis gossypii (cotton aphid), 2525 nucleotides. RefSeq lists it as uncharacterized. NCBI's taxonomy places the organism in Eukaryota, Metazoa, Arthropoda, Insecta, Hemiptera, Aphididae. The transcript is spliced from 4 exons. The record is from RefSeq and is a predicted model, not a curated record.